UAUCCCUGUUCCAAUGGGCAAAGAGAUAAGUGGUUGGUAUUGUUGUUCUUAUAUUAGUCAGGGGCUGAACAGUUGGUAAACCACUGUUCUUCCUAGCUUGAAGCUUGGCCUGGUGUUUUAAGCUAUUUAAGACAGGGAUACAUCA
This is a small nucleolar RNA of Mus caroli (Ryukyu mouse), 145 nucleotides long. RefSeq annotates it as small nucleolar RNA SNORA48. The record is from RefSeq and is a predicted model, not a curated record. NCBI's taxonomy places the organism in Eukaryota, Metazoa, Chordata, Mammalia, Rodentia, Muridae.